CUCUGGGUCCAACCUCCCAUCCGUGUCUAUCUGUACCCUGUUGCUUCGGCGUGGCCACGGCCCGCCGAAGACUAACAUUUGAACACUGUCUGAAGUUUGCAGUCUGAGAUUUUUAGUUAAACAAUAAUUAAAACUUUCAACAACGGAUCUCUUGGUUCCGGCAUCGAUGAAGAACGCAGCGAAAUGCGAUAAUUAAUGUGAAUUGCAGAAUUCAGUGAAUCAUCGAGUCUUUGAACGCACAUUGCGCCCCCUGGUAUUCCGGGGGGCAUGCCUGUCCGAGCGUCAUUGCUGCCCUCAAGCACGGCUUGUGUGUUGGGCUUCCGUCCCUGGUAACGGGGACGGGCCCAAAAGGCAGUGGCGGCACCAUGUCUGGUCCUCGAGCGUAUGGGGCUUUGUCACCCGCUCCCGUAGGUCCAGCUGGCAGCUAGCCUCGCAACCAAUCUUUUUAACCAGGUUGACCUCGGAUCAGGUAGGGAUAGCCGCUGAACUUAAGCAUAUCAAUAAGCGGAGGA
This 512-nucleotide small RNA is filed under the name uncultured fungus. Its description in RNAcentral is "eukaryotic LSU rRNA". The stretch from base 132 to 285 matches the Rfam family "5.8S ribosomal RNA". The record is from RNAcentral. Lineage: Eukaryota; Fungi.